Molecule: long non-coding RNA, 2355 nt
Filed under: Homo sapiens (human)
Lineage: Eukaryota; Metazoa; Chordata; Mammalia; Primates; Hominidae
Description: novel transcript
Source: RNAcentral
ACCCAGAAUAAAUGAAAGAGCCACUCAGACAACCCAUUUUUGCCUCUUCCCUUAGACUUUCAAUUUGACUCCUCUCCAAUGAAAAAGGAUUUAAAGACUGCUUGUGGGGGUCACAGGAGUUCCAGGGGGGCUGUUAGGAAGCCAGCUCUGCAAGGUUGAUGCAGGGAACAAGUUGGCACAUGCUGUUUUAUGUCACGGAAGAGUGACAACCACCAAGAAGCCUUUCUAUCGAGCCAGUUAUCGACCCGUAAGGAGUGAUGAGCACAGGACACGCCUUACCUGAAGCCAGCAUCUCAACACCCAUGUGCAGAAGUCCAGUUAUCUUCAUCCAGGAGACGAGAAGACGAGUUGAGGCUACAAGGCAUGUUUCAGCGGGCUCAUCUAUGCAGCACAGCUUGAGCGUAGUGCAGAUCUUCAGAGCACACAGCUCAAAGGAAGAAGGACUCCCUCUUCCACUCUUCCAUGAUAGCCACAUUCAUGCCUGUAUACGGAGACACUGUUUGUUGCUCAUUACUGGGAGACAUUUCAGCACCCUGCCUUUUCCGCUACGACAAAGUCUACACCUGCUGGAGUAGAGGACAGAGCUGUCCGAGGGCUGCAUCUUGCUGUUUCUCCUGUCUCAUCUGCUACUACUUUUUGCCUUACUUAAAAAAAAAAGUACCUAAUGAAACUUAGAUAAAAAUAUGGAAAACUAUAUGAAGUAUCUAUGUAUUCACCAUGAAGACAGAAGAGAUAUUAAGAUUUUCAUACACUUGCUGUAAAUAUACCUAAUUUACUGAAACGGCCACCUGCCAUUUCUUCCUUUCUCACUUUUCCCAAAGACAUUAAUGUUCUUAAAGAUUGUAAGCACAUAUAUGUAUACUUUUAAUACAUAGGUGUCUAUGCAUGUCUAAAAUAGACCAUACAAAAUUAUAUAAUACAAUGUUUGAUUAUUUUUAUUUAUUUUUAUUUUACUUUAAGUACCGGGAUACAUGUGCAGAACGUGCAGGUUUGUUACAUAGGUAUACAUGUGCCAUGGUGGUUUGCUGCACCUAUCAACCUGUCAUCUAGGUUUUAAGUCCAGCAUGCAUUAGGUGUUUGUCCUAAUGCCCUCCCUUCCCUUGCCCCCGACCCCCGACAGGCCCCAGAGUGUGAUGUUUCCCUCCAUGUGUCUGUGCAGGGACAUGGAUGAAGCUGGAAGCCAUCAUUCUCAGGAAACUAACAUAGGAACAGAACACCAAACACCACAUGUUCUCACUCACAAAUGAGAGUUGAAAAAUGAGAACACAUGAUUAUUUUAUUUUAUUUUUAAUUUUUAAUUAUACUUUAAGUUCUAGGGUACAUGUGCACAACGUGCAGGCUUGUUACAUAUGUAUACACAUGCCAUGUUGGUGUGCUGCACCCGUUAACUUGUCAUUUACAUUAGGUAUAUUUCCUAAUGCUAUCCCUCCCCCUCCCCCCACCCCACAAUAGGCCCCGGUGUGUGAUGUUCCCCACUCUGUGUCCAAGAACACAUGAUUAUUUUAGAAAUAUUUUUUCUUACUUGGACUUCAGAUGAAAAGAAUUAGGUAAAUAAUAUUUCACAAUUUAUAGUGUACUAUUGGUAUCAGUUUACACAAAGUCUCUCUCUAAUCUCAUUUUAAUAUUUUCCCUCUUCCCCAUCCCUACAUGAGCCUCCACUUAUAUGCAUGUAAUAUGAAAUAGAGUUUUAAAUAGGCUAGUUAGGGAAAUGUUUUUGGAAAAGAAAUAUUCAAGUAAAGACUUAAGGUGAGUAUAUAUGGUACCCUUGAAAUAACUUCAUCUUAGAAAAGAGUCCAUUUUAUAUCUCACAGUGCUUUGCCAACAAGAAUAUGAUGUUUUGCUUAAUAAACAAAUUUAAAAAAAGACUGCAUCCAACCAGAUAAGGACACCAACAAGCAGACUUUUCCACUAUCAGUACUCACCAGAGGACUCUGUGACUGUAAAAGAGCAGGCCUCCAGCAGCUCGAAAUGGCCCCCUUAACUGAUACCAUCUUGCAGUCACUCAUGAUAAGAACUUGGCGUCUGCCACAGAAGGCUCUGCCCCAUUAACAAUUCUUCCUUGCAAGACCUGAGACCAUCCGCCCGGCCUAGACCAGAACUCCUUUUGUCUUCUUCACUCCCUCUGGACUGAUUCAUUAACCCUUUCUCCUAUCUCUUUUUCCUCUUGAUGUUAAAUGUUACUUUGUCGUUGAAUGUUUAACCUAUAACAUUUGUAUAUUAAGUAUAUUAUUAUGUAUGGUUUGCAUUAUUGACUGACUUGUGGAGUGGCUUGAGCCUGUGAGCCCAAGGCUGUGUCUACUAAGUAAAUGGGAAGGAUUAAAGAGAAUUGCCUCCUUGGGAACUCCAUUGUAGCUC